GCAAUACUGAACUUUAACACGCAAACAUAUAAUUUUAUGUCAGAAGUAAUUAAAUAAAUUCAAAAAUAUAUAUUUUUCGUACUCACUUGCAAUGUGCUCGUUAUGGAAGGCCAACAUUUGGUCGUCUGUUUAUUUUUACCGUUUAAAUUGCAAAAUACGAUACACAAGUUUUGCGUUUGAAGCAAAUUUUUUUAGUUUAACCGUAAUCACCGUGAAAUACCGUAAAAUUAAACGCGAAACCGAAACCGUAUUUAAGCUAAACACAGUAUACCGUUAUAUUACCGAAAACGCGAGAAUUUAGCAAUAUGUAUUUUUUCACAGAUUAAGCUUUAUGCAAAAACUAAUAGCGCUUUUUUGCUUUCGCGCAGCUGUCACCGGUGGACGGUCACUCUAUGCUCCCAAUUAUUUUGCUGAAACGCGUAAAUUAUGCUGACAUCUUUGUAGUACUUUUGAGCAACAACAGCAGCAAACGCUUGCACCUGCAAAGAGAAAAAAGAGAGAGUGUGUGAGUGAGUGAGUGAAAUCAACGCUUUAGUUAUGUUUAAGAAAAUUUAGUUGCUGUAAAAAACGUGAAAAAUUCUGUUCGUAAGUUGAAAGAAUUGCGACAAAAGUUUGCGCUAAGAAAAAAUUGCAUAAAAUUUGCUUACGAAAGUUUGUCGCUUACGGCUAUAAAAUGUACCGAAAGUCAGACAAACGACAAAUAAGGCAAGCGCGUUUAAAAAAAUCUGAAGCGCUUAAAGCACCACAUUUUUAGCUGGCUGUUGGACAAAUUUUUACUUUCCGGCACUGGAGAGAUAUGCAACGCUGCUUUGUUUUUGUUUGUGUGCGCGAAUGUUUCUGUAUUAUGUCAACUGCAUUACCGUUAAGAGAAUGCUUGCAGUAGUUGUACCGGUGAGCAAAAGAAAUAUUGUCACUGCUUAGGCGCAGACACAAGUCAAGUUUAAAAAGUUCGAGACAAUAAACUCGCAUAAGUAUUUAUUACUCCAAUAUAUAUCGUUGCCUACAUUUUAUAUUAUAAGAUAAGGAUACUGGGCUUUCACACAUAUCACCUUGAAUGUCAAAGGUAGAUUCAGAGAGCCAUUCGGAACUUUUAUUGGUAAAAACUUGUGAGAGAAGAAAGCAGCUGUAACAUUUAUUAUUUAACAUAUGUAUAUUAAUACUUAGUAUACUUACAUACAUACAUACUUAAAAGUAAUUAAUAUUCCAACUUAACCUAACCUCAAAAUGUGAGAUAAAAAAUUUUCAAAAAAAAUUCAGUUACUGCGCUUGUUGUAAGCAACAUUAAAAAAUUCUGUCCCAAGAGAUUUUGGAAAUAAAUAUUUAAACAUACUUUUUACAGGGAUAAAUAUAACUGUGUAACUAUGAAAAAUGUAAAAAUAUAAAUUUCAGUUAAAAAAAAUGUUUUAAAUAUUAAUAUUUCACAUUUCGCAUUUGUAACACAUGGCCAGCAAAAAUUACCCAAGCAUAAAACCGAGUUUAAAUUCAGAUUAAAAACCAUUUCACAUGCAACCCUGCUGAUACAAAAUUCAUGAAAAAUAAAAAAAAACACAGUGUUCCCCAAGCAGCAACUGCAAAAAAAUUACAAAAUCGUGUUUACAAUUAUUAUCGUUGCGGCUACAAAUUUCUCAAAAAAAAAAGCGCAUAACUAGCAACAACAACAUCGGCGCAAAAAACUAUAAUUUGUGGCAAGUAAAAUGCCACACGCAACAAAUAACAAAAAUUGCGACAAAUUUGUAGCAAACGCGCGCCACGCGGCAACAUGCGGCAAUUAGAGUAGAAAAAUUGAAAUUUUUUCAACACUCGGCAACACCAUAACAAAAGUGGGAAUAAAAUAAAUUUUUACAAGCAAUUUGCAACAUAUUCGUAAUAUAUGGCAAUUGUUGAAGGAGAAACAAAAAACGCACAGACAAGCCAAUGCUUUUUCACGCACUUUUCAUGCACAACACUGAGGCGGCACGCAAUUGUUGUAAUUAUUAUUGUUGUGCGAUUAUAAUACUCGUUAUUUUUUGUGUUUUUGUUGCCCACGCUACAAAUCGAGCAGCUAUAACCACGCACUUAAAUCAUCCACAUCCUUAAUGUGUCCUCGCAGCCAGUAAUCGCACACACACACACACCACCUCACAGCUGCGCAAGUACGUAUUCAAGGUAGCAGCAGCAACGACAGCAAUUCAACGUCCCGCAGCAAUGUCCAGCAGCAAUAACUGUUAAAGUGACAGUCAUAAAAACUACCAUCAACCACAAUAAUGGGCGAUGGGCGACGCCGACGGAACUGCGCUGUGUCCUUGCGUAUUUAUUGGCCAUCAGCUAUACUAUAUUUUAUCCGUUUAAAUGGCUGUGCAGCGGUUGCUAUCUAUCAACUUCAGGCAUCAUCAAGCAGAAAAUCAUACGUAAUAUUUUUUACGAUGCUCUGCGGCAAGUGAAAUACGUACAACAACAAUAGCAACACGGUUAUAGUUGGUGUAGGAUGCGUGGCAAUUUGUUAGCGGUGGAAGGAAAUUGGCUUAUUGGUACGAAAUCACUAUUGAGAAGUGUUUAAUUUUUUUAAAUUUCAGAUUUGUUUUCAUUUGUGGUUUUCUUCAAAGAUUUUGUGCUUCAAAUGCUGAC
Molecule: non-coding RNA, 2604 nt
Organism: Bactrocera oleae (olive fruit fly)
Lineage: Eukaryota; Metazoa; Arthropoda; Insecta; Diptera; Tephritidae
Source: RefSeq, a predicted model, not a curated record